GACUGGGCGUAAAGGGCGUGUAGGCGCCGAUUAAGUCUGGAGUGAAAGUCUGCAGUAAAGUGGGAAUUGCUUUGGAUACUGGUUGGCUGAGUGCAGAAGAGGUAAGCGGAAUUCCCAGUGUAGCGGUGAAAUGCGUAGAGAUUGGGAGGAACACCAGUGGCGAARGCGGCUUACUGGGCUGUAACUGACGCUGAGGCGCGAAAGCGUGGGGAGCGAACAGGAUUAGAUACCCUGGUAGUCCACGCGGUAAACGAUGAAUGCUAGGUGUUGCGGGUAUCGACCCCUGCAGUGCCGGAGUAAACGCAAUAAGCAUUCCGCCUGGGGAGUACGGCCGCAAGGUUGAAACUCAAGGGAAUUGACGGGGGCCCGCACAAGCAGCGGAGCAUGUUGUUUAAUUCGAAGCAACGCGAAGAACCUUACCAGGUCUUGACAUCGGCGUAAAGCCCAAGAGAUUGGGUGUCUCUUCGGAGGAUGCCAGACAGGUGGUGCAUGGUUGUCGUCAGCUGGUGUCGUGAGAUGUUGGGUUAAGUCCCGCAACGAGCGCAACCCUUAUGGUCAGUUACUAACAAGUGAAGUUGAGGACUCUGACAAGACUGCCGGGGACAACUCGGAGGAAGGUGGGGACGACGUCAAAUCAUCAUGCCCCUUAUGACCUGGGCUACAAACGUGCUACAAUGGUGACUACAAAGAGGAGCGAGACCGUAAGGUGGAGCGGAUCUCAAAAAAGUCAUCCCAGUUCGGAUUGUGGGCUGCAACCCGCCCACAUGAAGUUGGAGUUGCUAGUAAUCGCGGAUCAGCAUGCCGCGGUGAAUACGUUCCCGGGCCUUGUACACACCGCCCGUCACACCAUGGGAGUUGGGAGCACCCGAAGUCAGUGAGGUAACCGCAAGGGGCCAGCUGCCGAAGGUGAGACCGAUGACUGGGGUGAAGUCGUAACAAGGUAA
Molecule: ribosomal RNA, 944 nt
Filed under: uncultured bacterium
Lineage: Bacteria
Description: bacterial SSU rRNA
Rfam family: Bacterial small subunit ribosomal RNA
Source: RNAcentral